Long non-coding RNA from Astatotilapia calliptera (eastern happy), 580 nucleotides. NCBI's taxonomy places the organism in Eukaryota, Metazoa, Chordata, Actinopteri, Cichliformes, Cichlidae. The record is from Ensembl.
GCAGCUCCUGUGUAUUUCAGCGGCAGCUAGGCUUUACAAUCUUUAAGUGUCUCUGUCUCUAGCUGAGGAUUUCCUGUCUGUGGAAGGAUUUUCUUCUCUCUCUUUCUGACCAAAGCAGAGAGAGGAGGAGAAGGACAGAUAGUAAGAGGAGAGGAAAACAGGAGAAGGAAGAGCGACAGUGGGCCGGGAGUGACCUUCGUGGUGUGGUGGCAAAGCAGAGGAGGAGGAACGGGACUAAGCGGAGGAUCCAUCAGGUGCAUUUUCCCUCUUUGAGGAGCAGUGAUAUGGACACCAGGUGUGGUGACGCUAAGAUGUCUGGACUGUUUUCAAGGAGCUGUUGCUGGGUUGGUGGUGGCCAAUUCCCAAAAGUCUGCUGCUGCAAAAAAAAAAAAAAAAAAAGAAAAAGGAAAAAUGAAUGACCCAAGAAAACCCAGAGGAAGGGGGAAAAAGUGUCAUGAAGGCACCUUUUGCAAAAAAUCUGAGCCUGCUUUUGAAAAAUUAGUUCUGGAUGCUAACAUUACACUUUAUACUGACCCAGGUUAUUUAGCUGGUGCCAAUUUGAAUAUAGUUUCAAUCAGAC